UACGUAGGUGGCAAGCGUUGUCCGGAAUUAUUGGGCGUAAAGAGCUCGUAGGCGGUUUGUCGCGUCUGCUGUGAAAGACCGGGGCUCAACUCCGGUUCUGCAGUGGGUACGGGCAGACUAGAGUGAUGUAGGGGAGACUGGAAUUCCUGGUGUAGCGGUGAAAUGCGCAGAUAUCAGGAGGAACACCGAUGGCGAAGGCAGGUCUCUGGGCAUUAACUGACGCUGAGGAGCGAAAGCAUGGGGAGCGAACAGG
Molecule: ribosomal RNA, 253 nt
Filed under: uncultured bacterium
Lineage: Bacteria
Description: partial 16S ribosomal RNA
Rfam family: Bacterial small subunit ribosomal RNA
Source: RNAcentral